GGGGAGUACGGUCGCAAGACCGAAACUCAAAGGAAUUGACGGGGGCCUGCACAAGCGGUGGAGCAUGUGGUUUAAUUUGAUACAACGCGCAAAACCUUACCAGCCCUUGACAUAUGAACAACAAAACCUGUCCUUAACAGGAUGGUACUGACUUUCAUAUAGGUGCUGCAUGGCUGUCGUCAGCUCGUGUCGUGAGAUGUUUGGUCAAGUCCUAUAACGAGCGAAACCCUCGUUUUGUGUUGCUGAGACAUGUGCCUAAGGAGAAAUUGCCACCGAGUGACGUGCCAGCGCUACUACUUGAUUGAGUGCCAGCACGUAGCUGUGCUUUCAGCAAGAAUUUCACCAUUGGGAGCCGGUGCCUUUCGAAGCACUUUCACGUGUGAACUGAAGUCGUCUUGCCCAAGACCCACGGAGACCUACCUAUAGUGACGUCAAAGUACCAGUGAGCAUGGAGGUUUGGUUGAAAUUGGUUACGACGACGUCGAGUUGGCGGCGGAGGAAGACUCGGCAUGAAGGCCAGAAAAUGGUGUGGAACGUAGUGGUAAUAGUACGCGCCCCGCUCCGAAACAAAGAAAAAGGUGCGUGCCGCACUCACGAGGGACUGCCAGUGAGAUACUGGAGGAAGGUGGGGAUGACGUCAAGUCCGCAUGGCCCUUAUGGGCUGGGCCACACACGUGCUACAAUGGCAAUGACAAUGGGAAGCAAGGCUGUAAGGCGGAGCGAAUCCGGAAAGAUUGCCUCAGUUCGGAUUGUUCUCUGCAACUCGGGAACAUGAAGUUGAAAUCGCUAGUAAUCGCGGAUCAGCAUGCCGCGGUGAAUAUGUACCCGGGCCCUGUACACACCGCCCGUCACACCCUGGGAAUUGGUUUCGCCCGAAGCAUCGGACCAAUGAUCACCCAUGACUUCUGUGUACCACUAGUGCCACAAAGGCCUUUGGUGGUCUUAUUGGCGCAUGCCACGGUGGGGUCUUCGAUUGGGGUGAAGUCGUAACAAGGUAGCCGUAGGGGAACCUGUGGCUG
RNAcentral lists this ribosomal RNA (1019 nucleotides) under Triticum aestivum (bread wheat). RNAcentral's name for it is "rRNA SSU_rRNA_eukarya". It matches the Rfam family "Bacterial small subunit ribosomal RNA", at positions 875 to 1520 of the family's 1533-position model. Lineage: Eukaryota; Viridiplantae; Streptophyta; Magnoliopsida; Poales; Poaceae. The record is from RNAcentral.